UGGGGAAUAUUGCACAAUGGGCGCAAGCCUGAUGCAGCCAUGCCGCGUGAGUGAUGAAGGCCCUAGGGUUGUAAAGCUCUUUCAUCGGUGAAGAUAAUGACGGUAGCCGAAGAAGAAGCCCCGGCUAACUCCGUGCCAGCAGCCGCGGUAAUACGGAGGGGGCUAGCGUUGUUCGGAAUUACUGGGCGUAAAGCGCGCGUAGGCGGAUUGAUCAGUUGGGGGUGAAAGCCCGAGGCUCAACCUCGGAACUGCCCUCAAUACUGUCAGUCUAGAGUCCGAGAGAGGUGAGUGGAAUUCCUAGUGUAGAGGUGAAAUUCGUAGAUAUUAGGAAGAACACCAGUGGCGAAGGCGGCUCACUGGCUCGGUACUGACGCUGAGGUGCGAAAGCGUGGGGAGCAAACAGGAUUAGAUACCCCCGUAGUCC
Molecule: ribosomal RNA, 424 nt
Filed under: uncultured prokaryote
Description: bacterial SSU rRNA
Rfam family: Bacterial small subunit ribosomal RNA
Source: RNAcentral